AGGGUGAUAUUCAAAUAAUACUUUUAACGCAUCACCGCUAAAGCUGCAUCUAAGAAAAUUUAAAGGAUAAUUGCGACAACCGUAACUCUGGGGUCUUCAAAGCUGCGCACAGAGGAAAAUGGCCUUCUCCAAAUGCUAUAAAAAAAUGCAGGGAACAUCCCAACUCUUUAAACUACCUCUUCAAUUUAAAAGACGCAGACGCCAGAAAUAGGUUUUGGAUUUUACACACACCUGCCUUUACUUAUGCAGGUUUACCCUAAGCUUUAGGCUCCUUAGCUAACUGAAUGGCAUUACCUUCAAAAAGCUUUGAGCACAACGCUUUAAAGCUUUUUCUAAUUAUUGCUUCUCUCCGACAGCUCAGCAAAGAUAGAGUCGUUUUAGCAAGGGGACCCCAAACAGUAGAGACGAAGGAGAGCUAAACCUUCCUCCUAAGCACAAAGUAAUAAAGAAUAUAGAUGUCCACAAGUAUGCCCCUUAAA
Long non-coding RNA from Zophobas morio, 479 nucleotides. RefSeq lists it as uncharacterized. Lineage: Eukaryota; Metazoa; Arthropoda; Insecta; Coleoptera; Tenebrionidae. The transcript has 3 exons. The record is from RefSeq and is a predicted model, not a curated record.